GAAGACCACAGAUAUGAGGCUUAUGUAGAGAUGCGCGAUGCACAUACAUACAUUCUUCAUAAAUAUUAAUUUUGAAUGACACUUGCUGCGAACAACAUGUUCAUCGGCUCAAGAAUCAAGGCGUUUUCGAAGUUCAUGUUUGUGUAUAGUGCGAAAUACUUAAAAAAUGCAUUCAUUAAAACUACACGUUACUCGAUGUUUACAGAAAACUCCUGAUUGUCAAAACUAGCAGACAAGAUAAAUCCCGUGUAAUCAAAUUUAUUCUUUGUUUCUUUCCGCGCGUCUUCAUAUUUUAAUCAUCGUCUUUGGAGAAAACAAAAACAAUCUACUGAUAAAUGGUGGAAAAAUUCGAUCGUUGUCGGAUUAUGUCGAAAAUCACUCGAUUUUGGAAGAACACCGAUUGAUCCUACGUUCAACAAUGUGCAGGAUCAGCUACACACGGCUUUACGUCGAUUCGCGUUCCCAAAGAUAAUCAUGACUCCGUAUGAGCACUAUAGUCCUGGAAUGAGUUUGUGAGGUCUUUUAAUGUACAAAGUGUACUAUGAACGGAAUGACUACUGGAUGAGUGCAAACCGUCAUUCACGCCUACAUCCAAAGCUAAAGGUAUAAAGUGUCGCAUCGGAUUUUACAUCAAGACCUCAACCCGUAGAUCUUACUGGUGGAUCAUAACGGUCACGCACAGCUCGCUUAUUUUGGCCUGGCACGGUCGUUCAACUUUACUAUACUGACUUAUAGCAACGAAGAAUAAACUCUUGUGCGGCGCUGGGGAUUUUUUUAAUGAAAUUUUACGCCACGGAAUCUAUUCUGGCAACCGAUGGUUUGCGAUUCUACCAAGCGAAAGGUACUGCCGUACUUCGAUAAGGCGGAGUAAACAUUGAAAUAAACAUGUUCUCUUUGUUAA
Topomyia yanbarensis is the source of this 901-nucleotide long non-coding RNA. RefSeq lists it as uncharacterized. The transcript has 2 exons. NCBI's taxonomy places the organism in Eukaryota, Metazoa, Arthropoda, Insecta, Diptera, Culicidae. The record is from RefSeq and is a predicted model, not a curated record.